UACGAAGGGGGCUAGCGUUGCUCGGAAUCACUGGGCGUAAAGGGCGCGUAGGCGGCCAUUCAAGUCGGGGGUGAAAGCCCAGGGCUCAACCCUGGAAUUGCCUUCGAUACUGUUUGGCUAGAGACCGGAAGAGGUAAGUGGAACUACGAGUGUAGAGGUGAAAUUCGUAGAUAUUCGCAAGAACACCAGUGGCGAAGGCGGCUUACUGGUCCGGUUCUGACGCUGAGGCGCGAAAGCGUGGGGAGCAAACAGG
Molecule: ribosomal RNA, 253 nt
Filed under: uncultured bacterium
Lineage: Bacteria
Description: partial 16S ribosomal RNA
Rfam family: Bacterial small subunit ribosomal RNA
Source: RNAcentral